Molecule: RNA transcript, 414 nt
Organism: Cimex lectularius (bed bug)
Lineage: Eukaryota; Metazoa; Arthropoda; Insecta; Hemiptera; Cimicidae
Gene name: anaphase-promoting complex subunit 13
Exons: 2
Source: RefSeq, a predicted model, not a curated record
AGAAAUCAGAGAAGGUUCCCAUUCAAAAUAUUGUGGCGUAAUUUCUAAUUUGUCAACUUGUUCCUCCUUAUUUUGAAGUCUCAUUCGCUCAUAAGUUGAUCAUUUCAAGAUGGAUAGCCAAGUACAGGCGGAUGGCAGGUUGCUCGACCUCGUGGAUAGAGCAUGGCGAUCGGAGGAGCUUCCCCAUGAUGAAAUAAUUGUCCCUGCUGCUGAACUGCCGGAUCCAGAAGCCGACAACGGCGAUUCUCAUACCACACUGAAAGAAGCCCAGUCAAAAUGGACAGACCUUUCCCUCAGUGGGCUCGGCGAACAGCAAUUUGGCUCUGUUUUACACAAUGUUAUGUACAUAUAAUGCUCCUAUUUAUUGUUUUACUUUUGUCAAUUUUUUCUCCAUUAAAAUAAUUAUAAAGUAUG